RNAcentral lists this ribosomal RNA (305 nucleotides) under uncultured bacterium. Its description in RNAcentral is "bacterial SSU rRNA". It matches the Rfam family "Bacterial small subunit ribosomal RNA", at positions 334 to 653 of the family's 1533-position model. The record is from RNAcentral.
UUCUGCCUACGGGAGGCAGCAGUGGGGAAUAUUGGGCAAUGGGCGCAAGCCUGACCCAGCAACGCCGCGUGAAGGAAGAAGGCUUUCGGGUUGUAAGCUUCUUUUCUCAGGGACGAAUAGAUGACGGUACCUGAGGAAUAAGCCACGGCUAACUACGUGCCAGCAGCCGCGGUAAUACGUAGGUGGCAAGCGUUAUCCGGAUUUACUGGGUGUAAAGGGCGUGUAGGCGGGGACGCAAGUCAGAUGUGAAAAUUAUGGGCUCAACCCAUAACCUGCAUUUGAAACUGUAGUUCUUGAGUGAUGUG